GGGGUUAUAGCUCAGUUGGUAGAGCGCUUGCUUAGCGUAAGCACUACGGUAGUUUGCAUGAGGUCUUGGGUUCAAUUCCCAAUAACUCCA
This 90-nucleotide transfer RNA is filed under the name Dactylellina haptotyla CBS 200.50. It matches the Rfam family "tRNA". From Rfam's summary of the family: Transfer RNA (tRNA) molecules are approximately 80 nucleotides in length. Lineage: Eukaryota; Fungi; Ascomycota; Orbiliomycetes; Orbiliales; Orbiliaceae. The record is from Rfam by way of RNAcentral.